RNAcentral lists this ribosomal RNA (397 nucleotides) under uncultured bacterium. RNAcentral's name for it is "partial 16S ribosomal RNA". It matches the Rfam family "Bacterial small subunit ribosomal RNA", at positions 360 to 774 of the family's 1533-position model. The record is from RNAcentral.
AAUUUUGGACAAUGGGGGAAAACCUGAUCCAGCCCUGCCGCGUGAGUGAUGAGGGCCCUAUGGUUGUAAAGCUCUUUCACCGGUGAAGCUAAUGACGUGAACAGGAGAAGAAACCCCGGCUAACUUCGUGCCAGCAGCCGCGGUAAUAAGAAGGGGGCCAGCGUUGUUCGGAAUUACUGGGCGUAAAGCGAACGUAGGCGGAUCGGUCAGUUAGGGGUGAAAUCCCGGGGCUCAACCCCGGAACUGCCUUUAAUACUGGCGGUCUAGAGUCCGAGAGAGGUAAGUGGAAUUCCGAGUGUAGAGGUGAAAUUCGUAGAUAUUCGGAGGAACACCAGUGGCGAAGGCGGCUCACUGGCUCGGUACUGACGCUGAGGUGCGAAAGCGUGGGGAGCAAACA